CCCUUAGAUGUUCUGGGCCGCACACGCGCUACACUGAAGGAGGCAGCGUGUACUCCUGGAUCGAAAGAUUUGGGUAACCCGCGAAUCUCCUUCGUGCUAGGGAUUGAGGUUUGCAAUUAUCCUUCAUGAACGAGGAAUUCCCAGUAAGUGCAAGUCAUAAGCUUGCGCUGACUACGUCCCUGCCCUUUGUACACACCGCCCGUCGCUACUACCGAUUGAAUGAUUUAGUGAGGACUUCGGACUGGGACCGAUGCGGCUUUCGGGCUGCGUCGGUAUUCUGGAAAGAUGUCCAAACUGUAUCAUUUAGAGGAAGUAAAANUCGUANCG
This 327-nucleotide ribosomal RNA is filed under the name uncultured eukaryote. RNAcentral describes it as "partial 18S ribosomal RNA". It matches the Rfam family "Eukaryotic small subunit ribosomal RNA", at positions 1470 to 1796 of the family's 1831-position model. The record is from RNAcentral.